RNAcentral lists this transfer RNA (60 nucleotides) under Zootermopsis nevadensis. It matches the Rfam family "tRNA", at positions 7 to 64 of the family's 71-position model. From Rfam's summary of the family: Transfer RNA (tRNA) molecules are approximately 80 nucleotides in length. The record is from Rfam by way of RNAcentral. Lineage: Eukaryota; Metazoa; Arthropoda; Insecta; Blattodea; Termopsidae.
GUAGUCUAGCGGUUAGAACGCUGGCCUUGUAAUCCUGGAGUCUCGGGUUCGAUUCCCGGC